UAGGGAAUUUUCCACAAUGGGCGAAAGCCUGAUGGAGCAACGCCGCGUGCAGGAUGAAGGCCCUCGGGUCGUAAACUGCUUUUCUGAUCGACGAUUAUGACGGUAGGUCAGGAAUAAGGGUCUGCUAACUACGUGCCAGCAGCCGCGGUCAUACGUAGGACCCAAGCGUUAUCCGGAAUUACUGGGCGUAAAGAGUUGCGUAGGUGGCAGAGUAAGUAGGUGCUGAAAGCGUGUGGCUCAACCAUACAUGACAUCAUCUAAACUGCUCAGCUAGAGAGCGAGAGAGGUCACUGGAAUUUCUAGUGUAGGAGUGAAAUCCGUAGAUAUUAGAAGGAACACCGAUGGCGUAGGCAGGUGACUGGCUCGUUUCUGACACUAAGGCACGAAAGCGUGGGGAGCGAACUGGAUUAGAUACCCCCGUAGUCC
RNAcentral lists this ribosomal RNA (426 nucleotides) under uncultured bacterium. RNAcentral describes it as "bacterial SSU rRNA". It matches the Rfam family "Bacterial small subunit ribosomal RNA", at positions 355 to 796 of the family's 1533-position model. The record is from RNAcentral.